This 372-nucleotide ribosomal RNA is filed under the name uncultured organism. RNAcentral describes it as "partial 16S ribosomal RNA". It matches the Rfam family "Bacterial small subunit ribosomal RNA", at positions 526 to 896 of the family's 1533-position model. The record is from RNAcentral.
GGAGGGGGGCGAGCGUUAUUCGGAUUUACUGGGCGUAAAGCGCACGUAGGCGGCUAGGUAUGUCAAAGGUGAAAGCCCUCGACUCAACCGAGGAACUGCCUUUGAAACUGCUUGGCUUGAGUCCGGGAGAGGGGAGCGGAAUUCCCAGUGUAGCGGUGAAAUGCGUAGAUACUGGGAGGAACACCGGUGGCGAAGGCGGCUCCCUGGACCGGCACUGACGCUGAGGUGCGAAAGCGUGAGUAGCAAACAGGAUUAGAUACCCUGGUAGUCCACGCCGUAAACGAUGGGCACUAGGUGCAGCGGGUGUCGACCCCUGCUGUGCCGAAGCUAACGCAUUAAGUGCCCCGCCUGGGGAGUACGGUCGCAAGGCUG